This is a non-coding RNA of Macaca mulatta (Rhesus monkey), 4572 nucleotides long. Lineage: Eukaryota; Metazoa; Chordata; Mammalia; Primates; Cercopithecidae. The record is from RefSeq and is a predicted model, not a curated record.
CUGUGGGCCCCGGGAGCCCUGGGAAAACUUGGGGGAGAAUGGGCAUCCCACCCCAGCACUUUCUAGGAAGAAGGGCAGCAGUUUGAAGGGUUGGAAGUAGAGAAAGGAGGUUGCAGGAAGAAGACUCCAUACUUUCGGUGAUGCCUAUUCCUUAGGUAGAACUUAGGAACCUCAGAAUGGAAGCUACAGUGUCCAGGGCCAGCUCUGCUAAGGUAACCAAACAUAGAGAAGGAGGCAAAAGUGACAGAAGAAAACCACGGGAAACCAGCAGAAAUCUAAUGACUUUGGCAGAAAUGCAAUUAUCAAUUGGGAGCUUUUGAUGAACGUUUUCUCAGUAUCCUAUGCUGAAAACAGGUAGAUACUAAUAUCGAUCUUCAAGGGAGGGCUGUUAUGAGUGUUGAAUAAGACAAAAACAAGGAAGCGACCAGCACAAUGCUGGUAAGCAGAGGCAUAUCAUAAACAUCAGUCUCCCCCUUUUUUUUUUUUGAUGUAACAAAUAAAAUUGGGAAAUAUUUGAUUCAUGUAAUGGAUGAACUGCAUCUCCCUAUAAUUCAUGUGUUGAAGUCCUUGCUUGCAAUACCUUAGAGUGUGAGUAUAUUUGAAGAUAGGGCCCUUAUAGAGGUCAUUAAGAUAAAAUUAGAUCAUAUGGGUGGGCCCCAAUCCAGUAUGACUGGUGUCUUUACAAGAGGAGAUGAAGACACAGACACACACGGAAGGAAGACCAGGUGAAGACUGCAAGAAGGCAGCUGUCAGCAAGUCCAGGAGAGAGGCCUCCAAAGGAACCAAUCCUGCCGGCACGUUGUUCUCAACUUCCAACCUCCAGAAUUGUGAAGCAUAUUUUUGGGAUUAAGUCACCCAGUCUCCGGUACUUUAUUACUGCAGCCCCAGCAAACUAAGACAGUCAUUCAAAGCAUUAGCAUGUUUUAUAAUUUUAAAGUUGCUUUCCAUGACGAAUGUAGCACUAGCCUUUGUGCAAAUUGGCUUUCCAGAACCUCAGUUACAGACUGAUCCGUUCAUCUCUCAUAUGGAAGAGAAAACGUAGAUCUGGAAGACUUAGGUGACUUAUCCAAGAUCACCCCACCCUGGGUUUGGUGGCCUCCCGCUGCCAUCACUGGAGGAACAAAAAUAGAUAUCGGAUUGCUUUGAAAAGAUGGCUGUUAAACAGAUAUCUGAGUUCUAAGGAAUACAGUUUUAAGCCCAAAUGUCCCAUCUAUUAGCAAUUAAUGAUGUUUGCCUCAGACUUCGUUCCCACUCCCUUAGCCCCACCAAGAACCUCCCAGCCCUUCAGUUUAAUGUGAGGCACAGCCCCUUUCCUCCAGCACUCCUGCCCUCUCAGCUUAGCCUUUACCACCAAGUGAUUCCGAGAGCUAGGAACACUUUCUGCCAAGAACUGUCUUUCACUGCUACAAGGUAAAGUUCAACGCGCUUUACUAUUUAUCUGCAGGACCUGAAGACUGGCCUAAACCCACCAUUUCAGGCCAGUUCAGGGCAACUUGAGAGAGAGCAAUUGCUAUCCAUAGGAAACCACAAUUGGAAAAGGCAAUGGUUUUCAUUACGGUUUAAGAAAAAAAAAAAACCUCUUUUGUUUCAAAUUUUCUGGAAGACCUUGUUGAGGACACACACAAAAAAUGUGGCAUUAUGUAUGUCUGUCAUAGUAAACAUGAUACAGAGUGUGUAACUUACUCAAACAUAAUUCACUCUUCAGUUGAUGAUUCAGCAGUUUGAAGGGUCAUAUGUACAUGGAUGUUUAAUAAUCAUUUUGUCUUAAAUUGAGCACUUAGUAUGUGCCAGACACUGUGAUCUGUGUUUGAUUAUAGUCUCUCGUUUAAUCCUUUCAAUAACUGAGAUAGUUGCUCUUAUUAAUGCCAUUUUACCCACAGGGGAACAAAAGCUAAGAAGCAUUAAGUGACUCGUCCAAGGUCACUCUAUGGGGAUGAUGUAGAGCUAGAGUUCAAAUUCAAGUGUACACGACUCCAAAGCCCUCUAAAUUAGAGUUAUAGAAAGUUUGGAGUUUGGAUUGAUGGACAACAUCCCUGAGACAUUCUUGAUUCCACAGGAAUCAAAGCUAUUUGUAAUCACAGGGCUAUUUGUAAAAGAGAAGAAAAGGUGUCUUGAAAUUCAACCAACAUGUUUCAAUUAUUUGCUCCUAAGAACGACAGAAGUUUCAACAUUCUGCCAACAGAGUAACUCCUGGAAGACUGGCACAAAAGAAGGCACAAGGCAAAUACCCACCUCUGUAUACCCCGUGCUACUGUGUCACGUACUGCUCCAGGCAACACCAAUGGAUUGGCCACCCUGGCCAAUGAUAACACAUAAAAAUUCCACUCAGUAUGGGGACCAAUAGAUAAUGAACACAGUCAGUGGAAUUCCCUUGCAGGUCUCUUCAAGAUAUUCUUCAAGACUGAUUUCCCUUCUUCUUGCCAAGAUUUUUUCCUCCUUCUUCUAGGAAGUCAGUGAUAAAAAUAUUUAAGCAGUUUUGUCUGCCUUAGACCUUCCACCUAAAAGUACAGCAAGUGGGAUGGAAUGCUAACAUGAGGAUCCUAAUUUUCAGGGAAGGAGGUCAGUAGACUUUCCUAUCUGAAAGAGACCAGUGGUAAAAAUGAAGGUGGUUUGAUGAUUAAGAACCUGUUAAACAUAAUGCAUGGGUUUACAGAAGUCCAGACAGUAAGGGCCUUGCGAUGGACUUCAUGCUCUAUUUUGAGAAAUGCAUGUAGUGGGAAACGUGUUGUGUCCCUCAAAGCAUCUGGAGAAUAUUCUUUAAUUUUCUCAAAUAAGAACUCCAGUCUAUUUGAGUGAGAAUGGUUGGAAUAUCAUUACUGCAGGAUUUGUCAAUCAUUCUUAUUUCUUAUAGUAAUUUUAAAUAUUAUACAUAAUUUCAGGGUAGUAUAACUCUCAGAGGAAAAUGUGAUUUUAUGACUAUACAUACUUUUUGAAUCCAGUGUGUCAUUUGGUGAAUAUAAAUGUAUAGGAAAUGCUACUGUUUGCUCAUAGAGAUUGAAUACUAAUCAAACGUUCCCGCCAUCCAUAUGUAUGAUUUUCAGAAUGAAGCAGGAAGGGGAGAGUUGGAAUGCAGGAAGAGAAUGCCUACUUCAGCUCGAAAUCCUGACAUGUAAAUUAGGUACUUGGUGACUGCCAAGUUCCUUUCCAAUCUCUCUGCAUUGUUUCGCCCUUGUGUUUUAUCCAACUGUUAGGAGGCAAAGCAACACAAAUCAUUGGUAUUUUAGUCAGCUCUGCCUCUGUCAGACCUUUAAAAUUCUCAGGAUUCCUAUGCUGUGUGAGGGAAAUCAUUUGACAGUCUAGCCAGACACUAGAUCUAUUUCUAUUGAUUUUCUUUUGCUAACAGCAUUAGCAUUUUCUGUAAUUUUGAAGUUAUUUUCCAAGUUCUCCAUUUAGAUUAUUAUAGAACUUAACCUUCUGGAAAAAAAAAGAGAGAGAGAGAGAGAGAAUUCAUGUCUUUUCAAACGUUAGUAUAUAAAUUUUCAGGGUACUCGGUCCUGCCCUAGACUGUACCAGUCCAGAAUGACCACCAUGGUCUUGUGUGAAUUCACAGUGUGGUGGUUUGGGCUAGCCAGUAUGGUAAUUUCCUAUGCAUUCUCUUGGAGCUUUUGGAUAUUGUGUGAAUUUCUCUCCAGAAGCAUCAUUCAUAAUGUGAAUGCUAAUGCGUAUCUCUUUGCCAACAGGAGGAAAAACAUCUUAAGAAUAUAUUUGUGGACUUCCUGGAAAUUGAUAAGUUGCCGCUAUAACUAAAGCAAGCAGAUUUUACUAAUUAGAAUUAUCUACAUAAUUUUACUUCAUUCACUUCUUUUUGUCAUACUAGGAGAGCUUUUAUACAACCAAAGAUAUUUUUUGGACCAUGAAUUCAGCAAUUCUCGGAGCCACUCAUCAGUGCCUGAGCUUCAGUGAGUCCAUAUCCCAUGUCACCUAUGGCAAAGGAGAAUGUGAGACUUCUGAAGAGUUUUUUGCUUCUUUCCUGUGGGGCAUGAUUCCACUUCCUAGCAGUAAUGGAAAAUCCUGAAUUAGCUACAGUAAUGUUAGAACCAUUUGGACCUCACCAAGGACUUCAACUAUAUCAUGGCCCUCCAAACACCAACACAGAGUAGAAAGAGGCUCUGAUUCAUGAAAUGUGAAUUUAUGACAGUUGCCACUCUUUAAAAAAAAAACAGACAGAACUUGAGCAAUACAUGACUGAUGCAUUCUCAGGCUGCUUCCUGUGUUCCAUCUGUCUUUCUGCCAGCGCAUUCAUCCUCCAGGUUUGAAAGCAGUCGGGUUCUAGUAUGUUAGGUUUAUGUUCCCCUGCUUUCUACAAUCCUGUUCAAAGAGUUGCUGACUUAACCACAGAGAGAAUUCCAGAACAUGAGACACAGAAUAAACUUGAGCAAUCAUAGUCCAUCCACUUCACUUUCUCAUCGAAAACCAAAGGUCCAGUAAAGCUCUGGAACUCAACACUGUAAAGGAGCGAAGGAGCAUCUAUACAGAGCCUGGGUCCCUGUCUCCUUAUCCUACUUCAGCGGACUUGACUGCAAUCCGGAUUAUGCUGUUUCCUAAGCAUUUAAAAUAAAAUAAAAAGUGUAA